This 301-nucleotide ribosomal RNA is filed under the name uncultured bacterium. RNAcentral's name for it is "partial 16S ribosomal RNA". It matches the Rfam family "Bacterial small subunit ribosomal RNA", at positions 509 to 807 of the family's 1533-position model. The record is from RNAcentral.
CAGUCGCCACGGGAAUACGUAGGGUGCGAGCGUUAAUCGGAAUUACUGGGCGUAAAGCGUGCGCAGGCGGUUAUGUAAGACAGUUGUGAAAUCCCCGGGCUCAACCUGGGAACUGCAUCUGUGACUGCAUAGCUAGAGUACGGUAGAGGGGGAUGGAAUUCCGCGUGUAGCAGUGAAAUGCGUAGAUAUGCGGAGGAACACCGAUGGCGAAGGCAAACCCCUGGACCUGUACUGACGCUCAUGCACGAAAGCGUGGGGAGCAAACAGGAUUAGAUACCCGCGUAGUCCCUGUCUCUUAUAC